RNAcentral lists this ribosomal RNA (447 nucleotides) under uncultured bacterium. RNAcentral describes it as "partial 16S ribosomal RNA". It matches the Rfam family "Bacterial small subunit ribosomal RNA", at positions 29 to 523 of the family's 1533-position model. The record is from RNAcentral.
AGCGAACGCUGGCGGCAGGCCUAACACAUGCAAGUCGAGCGCCACGCAAGGGGAGCGGCAGACGGGAGAGUAACACGUGGGAACGUACCCUUUGGAUCGGAACAACCCAGGGAAACUUGGGCUAAUACCGAAUAAGCCCUUACGGGGAAAGACUUAUCGCCGAAGGAUCGGCCCGCGUCUGAUUAGCUAGUUGGUGAGGUAACGGCUCACCAAGGCGACGAUCAGUAGCUGGUCUGAGAGGAUGAUCAGCCUCACUGGGACUGAGACACGGCCCAGACUCCUACGGGAGGCAGCAGUGGGGAAUAUUGGACAAUGGGCGCAAGCCUGAUCCAGCCAUGCCGCGUGGGUGAUGAAGGCCCUAGGGUUGUAAAGCCCUUUCGGCGGGGAAGAUAAUGACGGUACCCGCAGAAGAAGCCCCGGCUAACUUCGUGCCAGCCGCCGCAGUAA